Molecule: ribosomal RNA, 468 nt
Filed under: uncultured bacterium
Lineage: Bacteria
Description: partial 16S ribosomal RNA
Rfam family: Bacterial small subunit ribosomal RNA
Source: RNAcentral
GACGAACGCUGGCGGCGUGCUUAACACAUGCAAGCCGAACGGAAAGGCCCUGCUUUUGUGGGGUGCUCGAGUGGCGCACGGGUGAGUAACGCGUGAGUAACCUGCCCUUGACUUUGGGAUAACUCCAGGAAACUGGGGCUAACACCCGAUAGGACCUCCUGCUGCAUGGUGGGGGUUGGAAAGUUUCGGCGGUUGGGGAUGGACUCGCGGCUUAUCGGCCUGUUGGUGGGGUAGUGGCCUAACAAGGCCUUGACGGGUAGCGGGCCUGCGAGGGUGAACGGCGACAUGGGGAAGACUAUACGGGCCAGAAGCCGAAGGGAAGCAGCAGUAGGGAAUGUUACACUAUGGGCGGAAGCCUGCUGCCACAACGCCGGGUGCGGGAUGAGUGCCUUCGUGUUGUCAGCCGAUAAAACACGUGACGGAGCGUAAUUGACGGUAAUAGGUGAAGAAGCAACGGCUAACUACGUG